This 82-nucleotide transfer RNA is filed under the name Acidimicrobiia bacterium. RNAcentral's name for it is "tRNA-Tyr". It matches the Rfam family "tRNA". Rfam says of the family: Transfer RNA (tRNA) molecules are approximately 80 nucleotides in length. Their secondary structure includes four short double-helical elements and three loops (D, anti-codon, and T loops). Lineage: Bacteria; Bacillati; Actinomycetota; Acidimicrobiia. The record is from RNAcentral.
GGGGGGAUGCCCGAGCGGCCAAAGGGAGCAGACUGUAAAUCUGCCGGCGAAGCCUACGGAGGUUCAAAUCCUUCUCCCCCCA